This is a small nuclear RNA of Suncus etruscus (white-toothed pygmy shrew), 161 nucleotides long. RefSeq annotates it as U1 spliceosomal RNA. NCBI's taxonomy places the organism in Eukaryota, Metazoa, Chordata, Mammalia, Eulipotyphla, Soricidae. The record is from RefSeq and is a predicted model, not a curated record. The transcript has a single exon.
AAACUUACCUGCCAGGGAAAAUAUCAAGAUCACAAAGAUCGUUUUCCCAGGGUGAGGCUUUUCAAUUGCACUCUGAUGUGCGGACCUCUGCGAUUUCCCAAAGGUGGGAACUCAACUGCAUGAUUUAAGGUAGUGGGGGACUGCAUCCGCACUCUCCUCUA